Molecule: long non-coding RNA, 848 nt
Organism: Xenopus tropicalis (tropical clawed frog)
Lineage: Eukaryota; Metazoa; Chordata; Amphibia; Anura; Pipidae
Gene: arln
Product: allregulin
Exons: 2
Source: RefSeq, a predicted model, not a curated record
GAAACCCAACCACCAGAUACCAUGUUUAGACGCACUAUGAAGAGCGUGUUUCUUUAACCUUGCACAAUGGCAUUAAACAGAGGCGUAAAGUGUUUCUGGUUCCCAUGGAUACCGCAGUUGGCGUCGCUCCCUUCCCUGCUGUGAAUGUGACACGCAGCACACACAGCCCCGCCCAUCACAUGACCGGCUAUCACUUCCGCCUCUGCUACCGGGGCGCAGCCUCUCACUAUAGGUAAGGCAAUGGAAACGCAGCAAGCCAAGCACCGGAGCAGCGGUGAGACAUCAGGUCACGUACCCGGCCCCACGGAAGGGGAAAUGAAUGAGAGAGUGGCGCCGAACCCUGCAGCACUGGCCGAGCGCAGAAGGGAGGCCCGGGGUUACCUACAGUCUAUCUCUCACCACUCCUACUGGUUCGAUCUGUGGGUCUUCCUGCUUUUCGACCUAGUGCUUUUCCUCUUCAUCUACCUCCUGCCCUGAGCUGUCAAUAAGCCAGUAAAUGCCAAACAAUGUGGAUGGAUCUUUGGAAGCAAUGAGCCCUGCGCCUUUACCCCUCUCACCUGGGUGACACGUUGCAGUGUUAUACAGAGGUGUGCCUUACUAAAUUGCACUAGAAGUCUACUCUAUGGCUAUUGGGUCAAGAUUUGCAGACUAUAAUAGACUGUUUCCUCAAUAUAUCCAAGAAGAACGGAGUAUUUAUUUUUCUGUAUGACGAAUAGGCUCUGCUUCAUGACCAAACUCUUAUUGCAGUACUGUGAGAAAAAGUGUUUAAUUUAUAACAGAGACAGAUUUUAAUUGACAAAUUAAAAUUCUGUAAAGGUAUUUCUAAAUAAACUCUUUCUAAAAGCAUA